GAUGAACGCUGGCGGCGUGCCUAAUACAUGCAAGUCGAGCGAACAGACGAGGAGCUUGCUCCUCUGACGUUAGCGGCGGACGGGUGAGUAACACGUGGAUAACCUACCUAUAAGACUGGGAUAACUUCGGGAAACCGGAGCUAAUACCGGAUAAUAUAUUUAACCGCAUGGUUCAAUAGUUAAAGACGGUUUUGCUGUCACUUAUAGAUGGAUCCGCGCCGCAUUAGCUAGUUGGUAAGGUAACGGCUUACCAAGGCAACGAUGCGUAGCCGACCUGAGAGGGUGAUCGGCCACACUGGAACUGAGACACGGUCCAGACUCCUACGGGAGGCAGCAGUAGGGAAUCUUCCGCAAUGGGCGAAAGCUUGACGGAGCAACGCCGCGUGAGUGAUGAAGGUCUUCGGAUCGUAAAACUCUGUUAUUAGGGAAGAACAAAUGUGUAAGUAACUAUGCACGUCUUGACGGUACCUAAUCAGAAAGCCACGGCUAACUACGUG
RNAcentral lists this ribosomal RNA (497 nucleotides) under uncultured bacterium. RNAcentral's name for it is "partial 16S ribosomal RNA". It matches the Rfam family "Bacterial small subunit ribosomal RNA", at positions 28 to 507 of the family's 1533-position model. The record is from RNAcentral.